GUGCCUGCUUUGUAUUUUAACCACCUGUGCCUAUUACCUUGACGUGAUUGUUUUGCCCAUAUGCCUGAUCAUACCUGACCAUUCUGCACUCCCUGAUUCAUGAUUGAACUGAGUCCUGUACACACGAUGCCUCAGUCAAUUGCACAGUUGAAGCAGAAGCGGGGGAGAUGUUUGGCAAACUUGACCAGGACAAGGAGAAGGGCCUAUGUUCUGAUAGACAACAGAGGUAGCCGGACCCACCUGAUUUCCAUCAUCUCGGAGCUGGACAAAGCACUUCAGCAAGUGGAAGAGGCAUCUGAUAAUAUUGCAUCCAUGCUGACGUCAGAAGAUGAGCUGGAACAGGUGAAGGCAUAUCAAGCAGAAGCUGAUCGGCAACAUGAGGAGGCAGUCAGUAGAAUAGAAGGGUAUCUGAAGGACAGAAAAGACGACCCGGCAUCUGAAGUGUCCGGACAGUCACAUCAUUCUGAGUCAUCUUCGGCAGCCUCACGAGUAGCAGAGGUGGAUGCCAUGGUGAAGAAACUGGAACUGCAGCAACUGCAGAGACGACUCAAGACCGAGGAAGAGGACCAGCAGCUGCAACGAAUGCUGAAGUUACAGGAAGCUGAAGAUGCUCAGGCUGCAGCAGAGUUGCGUGCAAAGCUGUUGAAGGAAGACUCACUCAACUGGGACAGACGUGAGGAUUUCGGUGAAGCCGAAAAUGAAGAAAAUGAAGAAGCCACUGGCACUACAGCUCUUCAGGUCUUCAGGAGCGGUGGUGGUAUGCCAGGGACCCAAGCGCAGGGACCCAGCACCGGCACCGCUGCUGUUCACCAGGCCCAGGUUGGUGGUGGUGUGCCAGGGACCCAAGUGGAGCAGGGACCCAGCGCCGGCACCACUACUGCUCACCGGGCCCAGGGCAGUGGUGGCACGGGCGCUUUCCAGUCUGGACUGCAUGCUGAGGCUGUGCGUCAGAGUCUCCCUCGCCUGAACCUGCCAAAGUUUGGAGGUGAGCCAGCUGAAUGGCCAAAGUGGUCAGCUCUCUUCCGAACAAUGGUACACAACCAACCGUCCCUGACUCCAACUGAGAAGAUGGUGCACCUGCAGGCCGCCGUAACAGGUGUGGCCGAGCAGGCCAUCAGUGGGAUGCUGUUCGAUGGGAGGUUGUACGAGGAGGCCCUGAAGACGCUGGAAGAGAGGUUCGGUCAGCAGGAGGACAUCGUGCACGCCCACCUCCAGAAUAUCUUCUCCUGCCCUAACCCAUCCCACCUGGAUCCUGUGUUACUGGAAAAGCUCCAUUCAUCAAUCCACUGUGCCGUAGUCAUAUUCAAGAACUUUGGCUAUGAGGGAGAUCUCAGAAGCUAUGAAAAUCUCAGAAGGGUAGUACAGAAGCUUCCUCCGGAGUUAAAGCACGAAUGGGGAGCGCACGUCCUCGAUCUGACCCAGAGACCCAACCUCAUCGACCUAGAUGUCUGGCUUCAGAAGAAGGUGCGGGUAGCAGUCAACUAUGCGGCUGUGUCACAGCCAAGGAGGACUCCGAAAGAAAACAAGCUGAAGCCAAUGCAGAAGACUGCCCAGCAGAGGAGCACUCUGGUCACCGACGCACGGACAACAGGAAACUGUCCAUGCUGUAAGGAACGGCAUGAGGUGACUGACUGCCCUUUAUUCUUGCAGAAGGCAGUUGACGAGAGAGCGCGUUGGAUCGCCGAAGUCGGGCGCUGCUUCUACUGCCUGCAGACGGGGCACGGCGUGCGGCGUUGUCGUUCAGCAAAGCCAUGCGGAAUCGACAACUGCACGAUGAGGCACCACGCAACACUCCACGGCAGCAAGCGGGUCGGCAGACGGACCAGCCGUGAGCGCGUAGUCGCUGCAGCGUCUCUGAAAACCGAUGAUGUCACGACACUGCUGCAAGUGGUGCCGGUCACCAUCCUCGGCAGUAACGGCGAGUCCAAACAGGUUUGUGCCCUGUUGGAUCCGGGUUCGCAGACCUCGUUGGUGUCCGAAGAUGUGGUGACCGAACUGGGUCUUCAUGGAGAGCGGCAAACCCUCCGCCUGCAGAGCGUCGAGGGAUGCGGACCCCUUCAGACCUCAGUGAAGCUGAAGCUCGAAUUGAAAGCGUCAUUCGGCGAUGGCUCAAGUGUGGUAGUUCCUGAGGCAUUUUCCGUAAAGAAAAUCAACGUCACAGUACCUGAGAUCCCCCACAAGAUGCCUGACUGGAAACACGUGCAAGAUCUCGAUCUGCCAGACUGUUCCGGUAAGACGGUGGAGCUUCUUCUAGGAGCGAAUGUCCUCGAAGCUCUGCUACAACUCGAAGUGAAGCAGGGAAAGAAGGCCCAACCGGUGGCGAUCAGAACUGCCUUCGGGUGGACUCUGGCCGGUUCAGUGAAGGGAUUUAUUCCUGAGCGGAAGAGGCAGGUGAUGCUGAUCAGCAGGAAGUCACCAGACGAAGACGAGAUGUCGAAAAUGCUGCAGCAGUGGUGGACCACUGAGUCCUUCGGGUGCAAGUUUGAAGGCGAUGACGCCAAAUCUCCCGAAGACAUCAGAGCAGUGGAAGUCAUGAAAAACACCACACGUAGACUGGACAAUCGUUAUGAGACGGGGCUCCUUUGGAAGAGCGAUGAGGUACACCUGCCAGACAACAGAGCAGUAGCCGUCAGCCGCCUGCAUUCACUGGAGAAGAGCCUACUGCGGAAACCACAGAAAGCCGAGGCGUACAAGAAGGUCAUGGACGGAUACGUUGAGCUCGGGUUUGCACGCAAGCUGGAGACUGAAGAGGAGCAAGAAUCGCAUCCCAGGACCUGGUACCUCCCUCACCACGGUGUGACGAACCCAAGGAAGCCGGGGAAACUGAGGGUAGUAUUUGACGCUGCCGCAACGUGUGAAGGCGUGUCGCUGAAUGACAUGCUUCUCACGGGACCCAACCUCUUGAAGAACCUUCCAGGCAUCCUCUUAAGACUCAGAGAAGAACCAGUAGCCCUGACUGCUGACAUUGAAGCCAUGUACCACCAGGUCAGGAUCAUACAGCGAGACCAGGCGGCCCUGCGGUACCUCUGGAGAGACCUGGACGUGACGAAGAACCCAGAGUGUUACACUAUGGAAGUUGCAAUCUUCGGAGCCAAAAGCAGUCCAGCGUCGGCCAGUUUCGUCCUGCAGCAGACGGCCAGAGACUGCAGCAGCAGCACUGCAGCAGGACAAACAGCUAAAGAGGCAGCAUUGAACAGUUUCUACAUGGACGACUUCGUGCAUGCUACAGAAACUGAAGAUAAAGCUGUCGAGAUGCAGACGGAAAUGACAGAACUCCUGAGAAAAGGCGGGUUCAAGCUAACGAAGUGGACGACGAACUCGAAACGAGUCAUGGAACAGAUCAAACAGGAAGAGCGAGCUCAAGCUGGCACGACUCAGAGUGUGCUGGGCUGCACAUGGAACACGGCCGAAGACACGCUGGGAGUGAGAAGCAUCGACCCACACGUACCAGAGACGAAACGUGGAGUAGUUCGGGGAGUCGCUCGUCUCUACGACCCCCUGGGGCUGCUAUCGCCAUUCUCUCUGCAGGCCAAGAUCCUGAUCCAGCGCCUCUGGGCAGGUAACUACAGCUGGGACGAUCAGCUGGGAGAGGAGGAGUCGCGGAUCUGGAAGAAGUGGCUGAGUGAGCUCCCUUCCACGGAACUGAUGACCGUCCCGCGGUGUUUCUCAGGCACAGAGAUCAGCGCGGACUGUACCAGAGAGCUGCACAUAUUCUGUGACGCCUCUCAGCAGGCGUUCGGAGCAGUGGCGUACGUCAAGACGAUAAUGCCCGAUCGCCCCAGUAUCUGCUCCCUGGCCAUGUCAAAGACGAGAGUGGCGCCUCUCAAGCAAAUCUCCAUUGUCAGGCUCGAGCUACAAGCAGCGGUAUUGGGAGUCAGAUUGGCCAACAUGAUCCUGAAGGAGCUGAGCGUCAAGGUGGAGCGAGUUCUGUUCUGGACGGACAGUACUGUUGUGUUGCAGUAUGUGAGGAAUGACAGCCGUAGAUUCCACACCUUUGUGGCCAAUCGGGUGGCCGAAAUCCGAGAGCUGUCUCGUCCAGAUCAGUGGAGGCACGUCCCGUCCAGCUCGAAUGCAGCUGACGUCUGCUCCAGGGGAGCCUCUGCCACGGAUCUUUCCGCAGACUCGCACUGGAAGGAUGGUCCCGACUUCCUGCUGAAGGACGAAAAGCACUGGCCUGAGAACCCACCGUGCAAAGCUGUAUCGGCGGACGACCCAGAAGUAAGAACAAAGCAAGUUCUCACGACGAAGCCAGAGCUCGAAGUGACUGUGCUUCCUGACGCAGGGAAAUUCUCUUCAUGGACGCGCUACCGAAGAGUUGUAGCGUGGAUGCUACGAUUCGUGACGAACUUCAUCGCAUCAAACUGCCCGACUAAAGCUGACUGGAAGCGCCAGGGGCCGCUGUCAGCAGACGAGAUUCAGGAGGCUGAAAAGAAGAUCGUCUUAGACUGUCAGGCGCGGAGCUUCACCACAGAAGUAGCCGCUCUCCGGAACGGCAACCCAGCGGGGUCUGAGGGAAGACUGACUCAGAUGUCGCCUUUCCUGGACGGUGAUGGCGUGCUGCGCGUCGGCGGGCGCCUCAGCAAGGCUCCAGUGCCCUAUUCGACGCGUCAUCCAGCGAUCCUCCCGGCCAGAGAUGAUGUCACACGCCUGAUCGUGACGUACAACCACUCAAAGGUCCUGCACUCGGGUCAAGAAAGGACUCUGACAGAAGUACGAAGAGCUUACUGGUUCACCAAGGCUCGGUCAACCGUCCGAAGAAUCUUGCACCAGUGCACCGUAUGCAGAAACAGAAGAGCACGUCCGGAAGUCCCGAGGAUGGCUGACCUGCCAGUCGGAAGGUUCAACACUUCAAGAGCCUUCAGCACAGUCGGUGUUGACUAUUUCGGACCGAUGAUGGUGAAAAAGUUCAGAAAGACCGAGAAGCGGUACGGUGUCUUGUUUACCUGCCUUUCAACGCGCGCGGUGCGUCUAGAGAUCGCAAACACUCUAGAUACUGACAGUUUUAUAAUGGCCCUGAGGAGGUUUUCCGCGCGUCGAGGAAAGCCAGAUGCCCUGUUUUCCGACAACGGAACGAACCUGGUAGGAGGAGAGCGUGAGCUCCGGGAAUCGCUGCAGGAGUUUAAUCAGGCUCGCAUUUCGGAUCAUCUGAGCCAAGAUCACAUCAAGUGGACGUUUAUGCCUCCCGGAGCAAGUCACAUGGGCGGCGCCUGGGAAAGACUGGUCGGUAGCGUCAAGAGAGCCCUGAAGGUGACGAUCGGAUCGCAAUGUGUGAGCGACGAAGUGCUUCACACUGCGCUACUUGAAGUCGAGGCCAUGGUCAACGGACGGCCUCUUACAUAUGUUAGCCCUGAUGGCACUGACGUAGAACCACUGACACCGAACCAUCUUCUACUGGGGUGUUCAAUCGUCAACAUCUCGCCCGGAGUCUUCCAGCCCUGCGAGUUGAGCAGCAGACGGCGUUGGCGGCAGUCACAAGUUCUGGCUGACCUGUUCUGGAAGCGGUGGCGGCGGGAGUAUGUCCCAACCCUGACGAGCCGUCAGAAGUGGCUCCGCAAAACAAGAAAUCUGCAAGAAGGUGACGUCGUCCUGAUGGUUGAGAGCGAUUCGCCGAGAGGAUUCUGGCCUCUAGCCCGAGUUGUUCGAGUGUUGCCGGGCUCAGACGGCACCGUCCGAUCGGUUGAGCUGAAGGCAGCGGGGGGAGGCACUUACCACCGCCCCGUCAGCAAAGUGUGUCUGUUAGAGGAAGCUGAGUGAGUAUGGUGAUGACUGCUGAUCGCUGACAUCGUGUGCACAUGAAUCGUAUCUAUCCUAAUGUCUAUUUUCCUUAACUUCCUGUUAUUCUGUCUUUGUUCCUCCUAGGAUGUCGUUCCUAACCCUUCCUGAACUGGAGAGGGACGACUUCUGGAUGCAGCAGUCCUGGACGACGAUCUGGUGGACUGCAGGAGCCGGCAUGCCUCCAACGGCGGGGCUGGCGACCUGGCGGAGUCGGUCGCGGCGAGCUGCUGUGUGCGUCGCCUGCGGAGUCGCCGCCGGCGCGAGGUCAGCUGCGGCGAACUGGUCUGCCUGUGGAGUGGCCGCCGGCACGGGGCGGCCCCGGCGAGCUGCUGUCUGCUGUGCCUGUGUCGCCUGCGGGGUGGCCGUGGGCACGGAGUCGGCCACUGCCGAUUUAGGUCGCUCUCAGAAUAGUGACUUAGUGAUGACGCUGACUGUGCAUAUCAGGCUGGAGGCGGUGCGGGUGUUAAGUCUGACCCUGGCGGCGUCUCUGGAACUGCGGCGAGCUGCCGGUUGCGGCGGCUGGUGCUUCGGCCACGGCGCGUGGUACUGUCUGCUGAGCCAGACACGGGAAGGUCGGCUGCAGCGAGUCGACUGGUCUCCCUGGCUGCCGGCUGAGUCGUGGACAACAGUCGACAGCUGCAGUGGCAGCGAGACUGGGAUGUGUACCGUGCGCGAUCACUGACGCGUGUGUACCGUGUGCGAUCACUCAGGUGACGUUGCGUCACCGGGGGGAGGAUGUGAUGGUCCUGAAUCGCAUCGGGACCGCUUGUAGCAUAGAUGGCAGCAUUGUUCUCGGCUGUCACCGUAAGGUGCUGCCACCGCGGGUGCGCGGUCGUUUUGGGAACUGCAUUACAACCAAGCUGCGUUAAAUGAGUGAUUUAUACUAUCUCGAUUAGUAUUUCACAUUGGAAUAUCGUAGUGAAAUUAUUUGAUACGUUUUCUCCAAGUGUGACCGAUUGCAUUUGGUAAAAGGCGUAUUUAAAUUUGUUUAUUGUCGGCCGGUUUCGUCUGCCCAUACUUGUUAUUUUUGCGUGUCACCAGCUGACCGGCCUUGUGCGCAAUUCGACACGAAACCCGGCGAAGGAAGACACCUUGGAACCUACAACUAAACUACUGAUCUACGAUCUCUCAACAAACUACAGACUGCAUCUGUCUACUGUCCAUAUGUCUCUUCUAUUCUAAUGCCCAAUACAUUUAUUUCCAUUUA
Molecule: unclassified non-coding RNA, 6982 nt
Filed under: Amphibalanus amphitrite
Lineage: Eukaryota; Metazoa; Arthropoda; Thecostraca; Balanomorpha; Balanidae
Description: uncharacterized LOC122371257, transcript variant X2
Source: RNAcentral